Molecule: unclassified non-coding RNA, 272 nt
Filed under: Hevea brasiliensis (rubber tree)
Lineage: Eukaryota; Viridiplantae; Streptophyta; Magnoliopsida; Malpighiales; Euphorbiaceae
Source: RNAcentral
GAGGUGCCAAAAGAUGUGCUGGAUAUGCUAUGCUACCUUCAGAGUAAUUUUAAAGUUCAAGUUCAUAUUUCUGGGAUGACAGUUCUAACACUACAGAUGAAGUGCAUGAAUUUUGCUAAUAAAAGGGGUGCAAUGAAUGAUUAACGCCAAAUGAAGAUACUUUUAUUCUUAUGUUAAAGAGAAGUAGCAUGGGGACUGGAAAUGUGAAAGCCAUGGUUUUCGGUCCGUGAAUUUGAGUUUGGAAAAAUUUUGCUAAUGGUUUAAGGAAAGGC